UGGUCCACGGUCCACUGCAGUCGACUUAUCCCUACAUAAAUGCUGUGCCAUGUGACCUAAAUUCUUACCUUAACAUUCCAAUUCAUACGAUCUGAAAGCCUGCCUAUUCGCUUACUAUGUAGGACAGUUUUGCCUCAGUGGCUAUAGGAUGAAAACUUGGUUAAGAUUUGUUUUUUUUUUCGCCUGGAUACCUCAAAUGAAUGUGUAGUGCUUGAAGGGUCUGAAAGAACUCACUGAGCGUUAUGAUAUAAUGAAGAAAAUUACGUUCAUAAAAGGAUGGCAUGAAACAAAACUGGUUAGCUUUACCCGUCACGAGAUGUUCACGUGAUGAUGAUGCAGUGAUAAAGAGGGAUACCUGUUUAUUAGACGCUGUGCCAGUCAACAAGACAGUCACAAGUUCGGAAGAUCAGUUUGGUCAAGUUUUAAAAAGAGCGGCGAAGCAGCUAAGAAAAGACGCAGGCGAUAGACUCCGGAGACCGCGGACAAAAAGUCUGUCCUGCGGCCUUAAUUAUUGUCUUAACGCCUUCAACCGCUGCAAACAUUUAAGUGGAUAUAUCAUAUUUCGGUAAGAUAGCUGUGGACAAGAUAGCUUGACAUAUUCACAUUGCUAUAACCGGUCUUUCGUGGAAGCCCUGACUGCCUUUGUUCCAUUUUCUUACGACUACAUUUUUGUAUCACUAUCAGAUUUCUCUUCAAUAUGGACACAGGGAGCUUUUAAAAAGUCGCUGGUGUCUGUGUCUGUAUGUGUCUUUGAGACAGCCCCAGGAAGCUACAUUCCCAGAAAGUAGUUAUCUCAGUUUGAUGUGCAUCUCGCUCAACAGUUUCAACACUAGCAUACACUAGUUUUCGUCAGUAUAUCAGAAUACAGAUAUUGAAUAAAAAGUUGAUAAAGUCCUUGAUUGCGAAUUAUGAAUUUUAUGGCUUUAUUUGAAUAGGGAGCAUUCGCUGUAAUCUUUGAAACAUUGCUUUAAUACUGUUGUUAGAGUAGAAUAAGAUGAGACGUGCACUCUGUGGUUGCCUGGUCAGAACUGAUUGUGGACAGACUUGGGGUCUGUCCCUUUAUUGAACUCUUAUUAGAACCAUAUGUGAGGUGGCCCUGUCAUAGCUAGGACCACCUAUGGACAGUAUUAUAGAUCUUCCUGUUAUCCCACAUUGCGACAUCCAUAUGUGUUUCCAAGACUCUUCCCCCCUUACAACAGGUGUCGCCCUCGACACCUUUAAAGUCGUGCGUAAAACGUUACGUUACAAUACAUUUAUUACAUGUUUAAAAUAUAGAGGUCAAAUGUAAACAGAUGAGGUAGCAUAUAGAUCAUAAUCUGGUACGGGUGUGACAGGUAAUUAGCUUCUUCCUGGCAAUGAUGUUUCACAGACGGACUGCUGCUGUGAUAAUGGACUCAUAAUGGGCGUUGGCUGUUACAGGCGCCUGUACUUCAAUCGCACAAACAUAGAAACAACAAACAAGCAAAAACAAUAGGCUUCAUACUGGCACAGCGGCCAAGAAACAACAAUACUCCCUAGCAGUACUCAGUCUUCCAGGCAGUCACACAGCUACAGUGCGCACGUGGCCGGGCAUACAGACAUGAGAAUAGUCGUCCCGUAGGCUUAACUAUCUACUAAAGCAAGCAUCGUACAA
This is a long non-coding RNA of Branchiostoma floridae (Florida lancelet), 1633 nucleotides long. RefSeq lists it as uncharacterized. The record is from RefSeq and is a predicted model, not a curated record. The transcript has 2 exons. Lineage: Eukaryota; Metazoa; Chordata; Leptocardii; Amphioxiformes; Branchiostomatidae.